Molossus molossus (Pallas's mastiff bat) is the source of this 134-nucleotide small nucleolar RNA. RefSeq annotates it as small nucleolar RNA SNORA71. The record is from RefSeq and is a predicted model, not a curated record. NCBI's taxonomy places the organism in Eukaryota, Metazoa, Chordata, Mammalia, Chiroptera, Molossidae. The transcript has a single exon.
CCCUGCAUUUGAAAGUGAUCGUGGGUUCCUCGUGCCCUGGUCAUUGAUAGUGCAGGGAGAGCAAUUGCUGAAAGCAUUUCCCGGUGUUUGGAGGGUCCACCCUUGUCCCUUGCAAACCCUGGAGCUUUCACACA